UAAUACUGGAUAGAUCAAAGAUACUGGAAUGUUCCUUGAUCCAAAGCUCCGGCGUCCAAGGAUGGAUCUGCGGCCUAUCAGGUAGUAGUGGGUGUAACGUACCUACUAGCCUACGACGGGUACGGGUUGUGAGAGCAAGAGCCCGGAGAUGGAUUCUGAGACAUGAAUCCAGGCCCUACGGGGCGCAGCAGGCGCGAAAUCUUUACAAUGCAGGAAACUGCGAUAAGGGGACCCCGAGUGCCAGCAUCUAAUGCUGGCUGUCCAGCUGUGUAAAUAGCAGUUGUUAGCAAGGGCCGGGCAAGACCGGUGCCAGCCGCCGCGGUAACACCGGCGGCCCGAGUGGUAACCGAUUUUAUUGGGUUUAAAGGGUCCGUAGCCGGCCUGUUAAGUCUCUUGGGAAAUCUGGCGGCUCAAUCGUCAGGCGUCC
RNAcentral lists this ribosomal RNA (427 nucleotides) under uncultured archaeon. RNAcentral's name for it is "bacterial SSU rRNA". It matches the Rfam family "Archaeal small subunit ribosomal RNA", at positions 147 to 575 of the family's 1478-position model. The record is from RNAcentral.